UGCAGCAGUACAGGGAAGACUAUCACAUGUGAGCUGGAAGGCUGCCAACAUGGAGACACGCAGAGAGAAAGCUAAUCCUCUGAGCUCUGCGGGACUAGGCAGCAGCAAAUGAGUUGCCUCCAAAAUGUUCCUAAGGGGGUGGGCAACGUUCCCUGAAUCUCAGACAACAAUUUAAUCCCUUCUUUACCACUGGUCUCAAAAAAUUAAGCCCCCUGGACUCGCCGGUGGCACUUCCAUCAAAGACGGACUGAAGACUGCAAUCGUGCACGGCUUCAAUCUGUGUUUAUCCUGUUGAAACGUCC
Notechis scutatus (mainland tiger snake) is the source of this 302-nucleotide non-coding RNA. The record is from RefSeq and is a predicted model, not a curated record. Lineage: Eukaryota; Metazoa; Chordata; Lepidosauria; Squamata; Elapidae.